This 234-nucleotide unclassified non-coding RNA is filed under the name Tetracladium marchalianum. RNAcentral describes it as "partial internal transcribed spacer region". The stretch from base 1 to 46 matches the Rfam family "Eukaryotic small subunit ribosomal RNA", at positions 1786 to 1831 of the family's 1831-position model. The record is from RNAcentral. Lineage: Eukaryota; Fungi; Ascomycota; Leotiomycetes; Helotiales.
AAGUCGUAACAAGGUUUCCGUAGGUGAACCUGCGGAAGGAUCAUUACCGAGUUCAUGCCCUCACGGGUAGAUCUCCCACCCUUUGUAUACCAUACCUUUGUUGCUUUGGCGGGCCGCCUAGCUACUGGCUUCGGCUGGUAAGUGCCCGCCAGAGGACCCAAAACCCUGAAUAUUAGUGUCGUCUGAGUAAAAUUUUAAUAUUUAAAACUUUCAACAACGGAUCUCUUGGCUCUC